UUCGGAGACCAUACCACGUUGAAAGCACCGGUUCUCGUCCUAUCACCGAUGUUUAACUAUGUUAGGGCCGGUUCGUACUUGUAUGGGUGACCAGCUGGCAAUAUCGGCUGUUCGUGGAC
Molecule: ribosomal RNA, 119 nt
Filed under: Trichobilharzia regenti
Lineage: Eukaryota; Metazoa; Platyhelminthes; Trematoda; Strigeidida; Schistosomatidae
Source: RNAcentral